Molecule: long non-coding RNA, 1266 nt
Organism: Octopus sinensis (East Asian common octopus)
Lineage: Eukaryota; Metazoa; Mollusca; Cephalopoda; Octopoda; Octopodidae
Exons: 3
Source: RefSeq, a predicted model, not a curated record
CGUACACUCGGUGGUUAGGGGUUAGGGUUUUUGCUACGCCGAACACUACCUCCGCCUAAUAUAUAUAUACACACAUAUAUAUGUGCAUACACACACACACACACACACACGUCACCUUCUCUAUCAACUUCUGUAUAACAAUAACACAUGCACAUUGAUCAAAUACAUACAGAUAAACCCAAACAUACCCUCGUUUAUAACAUUCAUGUAAAAUAUACAAGCAAAUAGAUUUUCUUCGAUUUUUCACGAUGAAUAAUUUCACUGAUUCGAUCACAUGGGACUACCUGUUCAGUGAAUUCAGAGCCGUCUUAACAGUAUCAUAACGCCUACCCCCACCCGUGGACAUACCAGUGUAUUGAGCCCUGUUGUAUUUAUUUAUUUAUUUAUUAACAGCCAAGUUACAUCAUACGUAGAUCGAAAUUGGACUCCCUAGACCCAUGAGGCUCCCGGGCAACUGCCAGUGUGUUUAUGCCUUAAGACGGUACUGGGUGACUUAUAUGGUAAACGGAUGAUUGUUCCGAAGACGCUUGUAUGUGUAAUGUAAUGAUCUAACAGAAUAACCGUAUCGUUGCGUUGUGUAAGAAACGGCUUUGGUGCCUAGGGGUCCUCAGAAUAUUCUGGGUGGACAUUAAUUUGUAGUAAUGCUAAAGUGGAGUUUCGAAAUAAGUGUAUCACUGUAAAUCUGAGUGUGUACUAUUGAAUAUUGUGGGGGCAGUGCCGUCCGGUGCACCCCCUUAGCGACGGGCAUGGUAACAAGGAUGGUCUUAGCCGAUGGAUGAGAUUUGGAAGAAAGGAAAAGGGUAGGUAAGUGGGAGAAUAAAAACAGAAAAAAAAAAUGGAAAUUUUUGUAAAAAAAAAGGAAUAUUACAAAAAAUAUAAAACAGACUCUCCACUUCACCACGCGAAAAAAAACCCCCCAAAAACACCCUUUCAUGCGGGACUUCGUGGGGCUAUUCCAAAACUCGGACCGACGGUCUUCCACAUUUUCCGUCUACGCGACUAUCUUAUGUCAUUCACAGGGUGGAGGUCAACCUAAGGGGAUAGUGAAAAGAUACGGUGCAAUUGCAGUAGAAUCGCAAUUGGGGCCUCACGUUUGCGAAGCGAACUAACUUCUUAAUAGUUUGGUUUCGUAUUGAAGCAAUAACGACCAGCCACCGAGGAAGCUCUGUGCUUACGUACCUGCUAGUAAUAGUAGCUAAAUCUUUGAUGUCACACAAAAAUCAUACAUUUAGUGGAAAAUAAAAUAAUAUAAGUCCUUGAUAUAUU